Long non-coding RNA from Tympanuchus pallidicinctus (lesser prairie-chicken), 1154 nucleotides. RefSeq lists it as uncharacterized. The transcript is spliced from 3 exons. The record is from RefSeq and is a predicted model, not a curated record. NCBI's taxonomy places the organism in Eukaryota, Metazoa, Chordata, Aves, Galliformes, Phasianidae.
CCUUCUGAAAUUCAGAAAAGGAACAUACUUCGAUAUUGAGAUGCUUUUCUCUUCUGCUUUCAUAUAUUAUUUUAAAAGUAAACAUUGCAUGUCAUCAGACCAGAGAUUCAUUACAAACCUACUUCCCACUAAAAUAAAUUCAAUUUAAGAAAACUCUCAAAAUUGAGGACUUGAUUAUAUUUGCUCAAACAUUACAAUAAACACCAUCUAUUCUUGAGCCAGAAGGAUUGUAUGACUAAACAGUAAAUGAUCAUUUUCAACAUUUUCUAAAGGAAUUACAGAGCUAUCUUGAAAAUGUCAGUGGAACCCGGGAAUCUGAUUCCUUAUAGGCCUUUGAAAUCUGUAGUACUGUGGAUGACAGACGAUACAGCACAUUCACAUGAAUGUAGAAUGCAAGGGCAACUUCAGCUGUGACUUUCUUGGCCUAUGUUAUGUAGCAGUUAGAUUUACAGCCCUGGCUUUCCUGUGUUAAUUUGCAGAAUGGAGCAAUAGUCAUUACUAUUUUGUGUAUUUGUUCCAGAAAAAAACCCUCUGAAUUCCUCCAUAUCUCACUGUACACCUGGAUCAUCAUUCAUACUGAAGUUGUUCUCAGUGACUGCAAAAUAUCACAUAGAAGAAGCUCAGAAUCUCCAGAAAUGCUUGAAGAGGAGCCAGAAGCAGUGAAGAUCAGCAGGUCUGAAUAUGUCCAAGUUCUCCAAAAGCAGUAUAACCACGGGGACCAUGUGACUGUAUGUCACCAACCUGGAUGUAAGAAGUGUGACGCUGCAGCAGAGGGGUUUCCAACCUGCCAGGGUACCUUUUGGAAAUGGAAAUUGAUUUUUCUCAAGGAUUCUUUACUGGGCAUUUUUCCAGCACGGGAAGCCCAGUGAGCACUCUGCUGUGGGAUUCACUGCUGUCAGAGCCACAGCUGUAAAGAGAAACCCAGCUGUUCAAUGAAUCAAAUGGGACUGGAAUGGUCCACCAUUAUUCCUGGAUUUUAUUCUGCUGCAGGUACUUGUAGAUUGGUUCUAAGGUAGUCUAAACAAACCUCAUUAUGAGCUUGCUAAUUUUGAAGAAUUGUUUUGGUGUUUAGCAUGAGCAUUUUGCUGCAGGUUUGAGUAUGCUUUCAUCCAGAAUGUUUUUUAGAACGGAAUUAACUGAGAAAGCAGUAGUUC